UGGCGGCACUAGCGCGGUGGUCCCACCUGACCCCAUGCCGAACUCAGAAGUGAAACGCAAAAAAAAAAGCGGCACUAGCGCGGUGGUCCCACCUGACCCCAUGCCGCGCCAGGCA
This 115-nucleotide ribosomal RNA is filed under the name Klebsiella pneumoniae. Lineage: Bacteria; Pseudomonadati; Pseudomonadota; Gammaproteobacteria; Enterobacterales; Enterobacteriaceae. The record is from RNAcentral.